GUAGGUGGCAAGCGUUGUCCGGAAUUAUUGGGCGUAAAGCGCGCGCAGGCGGUUCUUUAAGUCUGAUGUGAAAGCCCACGGCUCAACCGUGGAGGGUCAUUGGAAACUGGAGAACUUGAGUACAGAAGAGGAAAGCGGAAUUCCACGUGUAGCGGUGAAAUGCGUAGAGAUGUGGAGGAACACCAGUGGCGAAGGCGGCUUUCUGGUCUGUAACUGACGCUGAGGCGCGAAAGCGUGGGGAGCAAACAGGGAUUAGAUACCCUGGUAGUCCACGCCGUAAACGAUGAGUGCUAAGUGUUAGGGGGGUUUCCGCCCCCCUUAGUGCUGCAGCUAACGCAUUAAGCACUCCGCCGUGGGGAGUACGGCCGCAAGGCUA
RNAcentral lists this ribosomal RNA (376 nucleotides) under uncultured organism. RNAcentral describes it as "partial 16S ribosomal RNA". It matches the Rfam family "Bacterial small subunit ribosomal RNA", at positions 527 to 896 of the family's 1533-position model. The record is from RNAcentral.